GACGAACGCUGGCGGCGUGCUUAACACAUGCAAGUCGAACGGAAAGGCCCUGCUUUUGUGGGGUGCUCGAGUGGCGAACGGGUGAGUAACACGUGAGUAACCUGCCCUUGACUUUGGGAUAACUUCAGGAAAAUGGGGCUAAUACCGGAUAGGAGCUCCUGCUGCAUGGUGGGGGUUGGAAAGUUUCGGCGGUUGGGGCUGGAAUCGCGGCUUAUCAGCUUGUUGGUGGGGUAGUGGCUUACCAAGGCUUUGACGGGUAGCCGGCCUGAGAGGGUGACCGGCCACAUUGCGACUGAGAUACGGCCCAGACGCCUACGGGAGGCAGCAGUGGGGAAUAUUGCACAAUGGGCGGAAGCCUGAUGCAGCAACGCCGCGUGCGGGAUGACGUCCUUCGGGUUGUAAACCGCUUUCUCCUGUGACGAAGCGUGAGUGACGGUAAUGGGUAAAGAAGCACCGGCUAACUACGUG
RNAcentral lists this ribosomal RNA (468 nucleotides) under uncultured bacterium. Its description in RNAcentral is "partial 16S ribosomal RNA". It matches the Rfam family "Bacterial small subunit ribosomal RNA", at positions 28 to 507 of the family's 1533-position model. The record is from RNAcentral.